UUGGCGGACGGGGUGAGUAACGCGUGGGGGAACCUGCCCUGUACAGGGGGAUAACACUUAGAAAUAGGUGCUAAUACCGCAUAAGCGCACAGUAUCGCAUGAUACAGUGUGAAAAACUCCGGUGGUACAGGAUGGACCCGCGUCUGAUUAGCUGGUUGGCGGGGUAACGGCCCACCAAGGCGACGAUCAGUAGCCGGCCUGAGAGGGUGAACGGCCACAUUGGGACUGAGACACGGCCCAAACUCCUACGGGAGGCAGCAG
Molecule: ribosomal RNA, 261 nt
Filed under: uncultured bacterium
Lineage: Bacteria
Description: partial 16S ribosomal RNA
Rfam family: Bacterial small subunit ribosomal RNA
Source: RNAcentral